This 440-nucleotide ribosomal RNA is filed under the name uncultured bacterium. Its description in RNAcentral is "partial 16S ribosomal RNA". It matches the Rfam family "Bacterial small subunit ribosomal RNA", at positions 339 to 795 of the family's 1533-position model. The record is from RNAcentral.
CUACGGGCCGCUGCAGUGGGGAAUAUUGCACAAUGGGGGAAACCCUGAUGCAGCAACGCCGCGUGGAGGAUGACGCAUUUCGGUGUGUAAACUCCUUUUAUAUCCCAAGAUAAUGACGGUAGGAUAUGAAUAAGCACCGGCUAACUCCGUGCCAGCAGCCGCGGUAAUACGGAGGGUGCAAGGCGUUACUCGGAAUCACUGGGCGUAAAGGGCGCGUAGGCGGGUUGUCAAGUCUUGAGUGAAAUCCAACGGCUCAACCGUUGAACUGCUUGAGAAACUGGCAGCCUAGAGUAAGGGAGAGGUAGAUGGAAUUGGUGGUGUAGGGGUAAAAUCCGUAGAGAUCACCAGGAAUACCCAUUGCGAAGGCGAUCUGCUGGAACUUUACUGACGCUGAGGCGCGAAAGCGUGGGGAGCAAACAGGAUUAGAUACCCGCGUAGUC